UCCUCAUUUCGCGUGCUCUCUCGCCUCUCUGACCGGUGAGAGAGCGUGUGAAAUGAAGAGA
RNAcentral lists this microRNA precursor (61 nucleotides) under Pristionchus pacificus. RNAcentral's name for it is "mir-8364 microRNA precursor family". It matches the Rfam family "mir-8364 microRNA precursor family". Lineage: Eukaryota; Metazoa; Nematoda; Chromadorea; Rhabditida; Neodiplogasteridae. The record is from Rfam by way of RNAcentral.